This is a long non-coding RNA of Hermetia illucens (black soldier fly), 480 nucleotides long. RefSeq lists it as uncharacterized. The record is from RefSeq and is a predicted model, not a curated record. NCBI's taxonomy places the organism in Eukaryota, Metazoa, Arthropoda, Insecta, Diptera, Stratiomyidae. The transcript has 2 exons.
AUCCUAUAUGGGGCCAAGUAGGCUUGCGAUUAUACUCCCAUUUGGAUGUUUUCAUUAUUGAACGUUAUAAAUGUUGAAGAAAGUUAAUUUGUUCUUCUUAAAUUCCUUUUCAAUACCUUCCUUUUGUACUUUGUCAUUUAGCCUCUUUCUGAUGCUGUACGAAUUGCUAAUGGGAUGUUUCUUAAGUUCUCAUACAUCAUGACGUGACCAGUAACCAUGCGGCGUGACAAGAUACCAAGGGGCAGGAUGUGAGGAGAGGCGAAGAGGCCUUCUUGCUGAUGAGUUUACGUCAUUAGUGUUAAUUGCCACGGCACGACUUGGGUGUUUAGUUCGCGGGCAAGGGGUUAAUUGUUGAUUGCUGGGAAUUUAAGAACAGCCAAGUGUUUUCGGGAAUUUUAUUUGGAAUUGUCAGCAGAAUGUGUCCUAUGUCAUGAUAUUUUCAAUUCUAAAAAAGUAAACGCACUUCGGUAUUUAUUUCAA